This 80-nucleotide ribosomal RNA is filed under the name Salamandra lanzai (Lanza's fire salamander). RNAcentral describes it as "partial 16S ribosomal RNA". The record is from RNAcentral. Lineage: Eukaryota; Metazoa; Chordata; Amphibia; Caudata; Salamandridae.
GUUAUAAUUCUAGCCACCCCAUAACCAAAAACCUCUAUUAAUAAUUAAAAUAAAUCAUUUAAUCAUGGAAGUAUAGGCGA